RNAcentral lists this ribosomal RNA (447 nucleotides) under uncultured bacterium. RNAcentral's name for it is "partial 16S ribosomal RNA". It matches the Rfam family "Bacterial small subunit ribosomal RNA", at positions 329 to 792 of the family's 1533-position model. The record is from RNAcentral.
UGCCAGACUCCUACGGGAGGCAGCAGUGGGGGAUAUUGCACAAUGGGGGGAACCCUGAUGCAGCGACGCCGCGUGGGUGAAGGAGCGUUUCGGCGCGUAAAGCCCUAUCGGCAGGGAAGAAGGAGGACGGUACCUGACUAAGAAGCCCCGGCUAACUACGUGCCAGCAGCCGCGGGAAUACGUAGGGGGCAAGCGUUAUCCGGAUUUACUGGGUGUAAAGGGGGCGCAGACGGCAGCGCAAGCCAGGAGUGAAAGCCCGGGGCCCAACCCCGGGACUGCUCUGGAAACUGCGGCGCUGGAGUACGGGAGGGGCAGGCGGAAUUCCUGGUGUAGCGGUGAAAUGCGUAGAUAUCAGGAGGAACACCGGCGGCGAAGGCGGCCUGCUGGACCGUGACUGACGUUGAGGCUCGAGGGCGUGGGGAGCAAACAGGAUUAGAUACCCUAGUA